RNAcentral lists this ribosomal RNA (1576 nucleotides) under metagenome. Its description in RNAcentral is "bacterial LSU rRNA". It matches the Rfam family "Bacterial large subunit ribosomal RNA", at positions 1310 to 2910 of the family's 2925-position model. The record is from RNAcentral.
CGAUUAGGAGGGCGAGAACCCCUCCCGCCGAACGACUAAGGUUUCCCAGGCAAUGCCAUUCAUCCUGGGGUCAGUCGGGUCCUAAGGCUAAGCCGAGCGGCGAGGCCGAUGGCAGACACGGUCAACAUUCCGUGACUACCGCCAUCAGUGAUGUCCAGACGGAGCAGUGACACCUCCGCGCCCUGACGGAAUAGGGCGUUGAAGGGCGUAGGCUAUGAUGAUGCCAGGCAAAUCCGGCAUCAGAGCUGAAACCUGAAAGUACGGGGUCCCCUUCGGGGGAACCUGAGAGCGAGGGUAAUCAUACUCCCGAGAAAAUGGGCUAAACUCAUGUUGGCGGUACCCGUACCGCAAACCGACACAGGUAGUUGGGUAGAACACACUAAGGCGUUGAGAGAUUCAUGGCUAAGGAACUAGGCAAACUGACCCCGUAACUUCGGGAUAAGGGGUCCUCACCUCCGGGUGAGGCGCAGAGAAUAGGUCCAGGCAACUGUUUAACAAAAACACAGGGCUGUGCGAACUCGAAAGAUGAAGUAUACAGCCUGACACCUGCCCGGUGCCGGAAGGUUAAGAGGAGAUGUCACCGCAAGGGAAGCAUUGAAUUGAAGCCCCGGUAAACGGCGGCCGUAACAAUAACGGUCCUAAGGUAGCGAAAUUCCUUGUCGGGUAAGUUCCGACCUGCACGAAUGGUGUAAUGAUCCGGACGCUGUCUCGGCCAUGAGCUCAGUGAAAUUGUAGUAUCGGUGAAGAUGCCGAUUACCCGCGAUGGGACGAAAAGACCCCGUGAACCUUUACUACAGCUUAGCAUUGACCUUGGUCAUCCGAUGUGUAGGAUAGGCCGGAGGCUUCGAAGCGGCGUCGCCAGGCGUUGUGGAGCCAUCCUUGAAAUACGGCCCUUUGGCUGUCUGAGGUCUAACGCGGAUAGUCGCGGACACUGCUUGGUGGGUAGUUUGACUGGGGUGGUCGCCUCCAAAAGCGUAACGGAGGCUUCCAAAGGUGCCCUCGGGCCGUUUGGUAAGCGGCCUUCAAGAGUGCAAUGGCAAAAGGGCGCUUGACUGGGAGGGAGACAUCCCGAGCAGGCAGGAAACUGGGGCAUAGUGAUCCGGCGGAUGUGUAUGGAAACUCCGUCGCUCAAAGGAUAAAAGGUACUCCGGGGAUAACAGGCUGAUCCCCCCAAGAGCUCAUAUCGACGGGGUGGUUUGGCACCUCGAUGUCGGCUCGUCACAUCCUGGGGCUAGAGAAGGUCCCAAGGGUUGGGCUGUUCGCCCAUUAAAGUGGCACGCGAGCUGGGUUCAGAACGUCGUGAGACAGUUCGGUCUCUAUCUAUCGUGGGCGCAGGAGUUUUGAGUGGUGCUGUCACUAGUACGAGAGGACCGUGACGGACAGACCUCCGGUGUACCGGUUGUGCCGCCAGGCGCACCGCCGGGUAUCCGCGUCUGGAUCGGAUAAGCGCUGAAAGCAUCUAAGUGCGAAGCUUUCCACGAGAUUAGAACUCCAUUGAGGGUCGUCGCAGACGACGACGUUGAUAGGGCGCAGGUGUAAAGACGGCGACGUCAAAGCCGAGCGCUACUAAUUGCCC